CCGACUCAUAAAAUCGACGAUGGCGGGGAAAAUUGACAGAAGGAGUCAGAAAAGUCAGAAAACAGAGAAAAAGAUGUGAGGCUGAGACAGGUUAUAGCGCUGCGAAAAACAUUUCACGUAAAACACUUUACUGUUGACAGUAUUGUGUGCUGGUUUGAUAGAUUAUGUGCAGUUUCAUGCCAAUAAAAUUGUUGCCUAGGAAUGUUAUUCAGUGGUCGCUUUCAUUCAUUUCAUUGGUCGCUAUUUCCAACCAACGGUAACCACCAAACAAGAGCUAUCAUCUGCAAAUCAAGAAACGCUUGAAUUUCAAACUACCGAUAAGCGAUGUGAGUUACGUUUAGUCAGCAUUCAAAAUUCAAGAAAUAGCGUUCCAGAAUUUAUAACAACGGAAGCAUCCAAUAUACCUUGGUGCCAAAAUUCUCUGGCAACUAAUUGGCUUCCUUCAUCUAUUUAGUGAAAAAACUGAUGCAUGUCGCCAUUCGAAACAAUGCUAAAUUAUUCAAAUAUAAACGCAUUAUUAGCUAAGGUUUUAUAUUUAUUAAAACUUUUUAUAUAUAUAAAAUUAUUCAACAUUAAACAAAUACCGUUUUAUACACAAAAUUCUGAAUCAAUAAACUAAUUUAUUAUA
Molecule: long non-coding RNA, 628 nt
Organism: Hermetia illucens (black soldier fly)
Lineage: Eukaryota; Metazoa; Arthropoda; Insecta; Diptera; Stratiomyidae
Exons: 4
Source: RefSeq, a predicted model, not a curated record